This 3090-nucleotide long non-coding RNA is filed under the name Homo sapiens (human). Its description in RNAcentral is "HSALNT0154496". Lineage: Eukaryota; Metazoa; Chordata; Mammalia; Primates; Hominidae. The record is from RNAcentral.
CAGAACAGGACCAUGUCAUCAAAUUUAGAGAAACUUGAACUAUGAGUUUGAACCUGCUCUUCCCAAUUCAUGAAUUUUGUAAUGGAGAACAUUGGAUCCAGACAAAUCCUGAUUUAAUUUCAACUUUACACCCUCAGCCAAGCAAGCAAAUAACAGAAGAAGUAAAGGAAGCCAAACAACAUCAAAAUUUAAAACCAACCAACUAGUCAUGUGUGGUGCCUCAUGCCUGUUGUCUCAGCACUUUGGGAAGCUGAGGUGCAAGGAUCGCUUGAGGCCAGGAGUCUGAGACCAGCCUAAGCAACAUAGCAAGACCCUGUCUCUACAAGAAAAAAAUAAAAAUAAAAAUUAGCUAGGUGUACUGUGUACCUGUAGUCCCAGCUACUUAGGAGGCUAAAGCAAGAUGAUCUUUUGAGUCCAGGAGUUUGAGGCUACAGUGAGCUGGGAUUGCAACCUCACUCCAGCCUGUGCAAGAGAGCAAGACCGUGUCUCAAUAAACAAAAACAGAAAUAAAACAAAAAAAACAAGUAACCAGUCACCACCACCGUCACCACCACCACCGUCACCACCACCACCAUAACAACAACAGAAAAUGCAUGGUUUCAAUCACCACCCAUUUGUAGAGAACUUUUGAUUCAUAGACCCAGGCCAGAUCUCUCCCCGCCUGAACUAUAAACUUGUGUACUUCUUUUGCCCCCUUGACAUUUCUAUCUGCAUAUCUCACUGAAAAUUUUAUUUCUAUAUACAUAUCUAACUGAAAAUGCUUAAAACUGAACAAAUUUCUACACAAAUUCUGUUCUAUUAUUCAUGUUACCUUAUUUCGGUGAAUGACAAAAACAAGACAAAAAUAUGGGGAUUAUUUUCAACUCCCCUUUUUGCCACACCUUUUAUAAUGAAUCACUUCCUAAGUCUUUAUGAUCUAACUUUUCAGAAUUCUCAAAUCUUUCUCCUUACUUUUAUCUCCAAUUGCAACAUAUAUAUUAGUGUGUGUAUGUAUGCGUACUACCAUCAUCCUUGCAGCUGACUUCUUAAUGAUGCUACUAUUUGCUGAUCAAUGGAUUUUCUAUAUGGCAGUUUCAAAUGUGAGUGGGACUCUUUGCUCUUCUGCUUAUGACUCCACAGGGUUCCAGUUGCCCUCCAGGUAAAGUCUAACUCACUAAUAUGGAUUGCAAGUCUUGAUGAGAUCAGAACCCUGACGAUUUUCUCGUUUCACUUUUACUCUGUUCACUGGCCUCCCCUUAAUCUCUAAUUCAGUAUUCUCAAUCCUGACUGCACCUUAAGAUCAUCUGGAGAAAAAAAAAUGCUUCUCCACCCCUCACCCUCAUACAAAUGAUGAUUUAAUUAGUCUGAGAUAAGGUUAUUAAUCAGUAGUUCAAAAAAAUUGCCACAGAUGUUUCUACUAUGCAACUACAUCCAAACACACAAAGAGCUCUCUUGUCUCUAGCUUCUUUCUACUAAGAACCCUCUUUUUACCUGUUUUACUACUCCUGUCUGUGUCUCAGAUAGAGACUUUAUUCAUUAAAUAUUGGCUACAUGUGUUCAGACAGGCAUUUAGGCAGGUUGGGUAUGGAGAGAAAUAACAAAGUGUGCUGAAAGAGAAUAAAAAAGAUCUGGAUUUGAAUCUUCAUUCUGAUAGAUAGUAGAUAUGUUCAGAACAUUACUGAAACACAGUAAACCUUGGGUUCAUUAUUUGUAAAUUGCAGAGAAUACUAUCUACUGCACAGAGUUUCUUUGAUAAUUAAAUUUGAUAGCAUAUGUACAUUUCAGAAAACAGGGACUACAGGAAUACAACUUUAGUAAAGAACACUGGCUUUGGAACCAUCUAACACUCAUAAUCAAGUUUUAAGUCAUAUGCUUAAUAACAAUAUCACCUACUUUAAAAGUUGCUUAAACUCUCUUGGCCUUAGUAUUUGUAACCUUAAAUUAGGAAUGAUAUUACCAAAGUUAAAGUUCAUAACAAAAAUUCAGAUAGAUAUGGAGGACAUUUGUAACACAUAAAAAUUCUCUUGAUACUCUCUUCUGUGUAUGCAUUAGGCUUGAAUAAAAAGUUUAAAGUCUGUAUAAAUUCUAGAUAUUAUAAUAAUUAUAAUAGAAUCCAUUAUUAUUAACAUUAUUAUUUUCUCAUUUGUAAAAUUUACUCCUUUUCAUAACCUUGUUCAUUUCCUGUAAGUACCUAUAAAAUAUCAGUUACUUAUUUUAUGUAACACUUCCCACUAUAAUGGGAAGCCUUUCUUCAGCAACUAAUGUUUUAACUUAGUGUUGGAACCUCCAAACAACUAUGUGGAUGAUCAAUGCUAGGCCCUGUAUUGACUCUUUUUUGAAGGUUCUUCUUGUCUCAUUUUAUCUGACCACUCAGGCUGGAAACUGGAGACCCUUGCAAUAUUACUCUGAUAUUAAUCCCAUCUAGAAAUCAUGUUGAGUCAUAAAAUGCAAGUCAUUCUUCAAAUUACUCGAUGUCAAAAGAUUCUUCUAUAUUGGGUCUGAUGUCACAUGUGAUGAAAUUAGUUGGCUAUAUUUUCUGGAUGUGAAGUCAUACAUUGAUCAUGCCCUUGACACAUACUGAGUAGUCUCAUUUUUCUGGAUUUAUAGUUUUUGGAAAAUACAAAUACAUUCAAUAUUCCAUAUAUCAAAAUAUGUGAAGAAAACUGGUGUUAAUAACUUAUACAGGGAUUAAUUUCUGUAAGUGUUCAUCACAAAAUAGCACUUCAAGAUGGGGGGUUAUUCAUUAAAUGGAAGGUAUGCUUAGCCAAUUUGUAAAUGACAAUUGUUUGAAAGAUAUAGAGGACAUGGAUAGCUCUCAGACUCAGUAUGCAGAUAAAUAGGAAGAAAGUGGAGCAGAGAUAAAUUGUUUGUAACAGAAAAACACCUAGUAGAAAUAAAUUCAAAUUCUUUCUUUUAAAUGCAAAGAACUAAUUCCACAAGAACUGUUUAUGGAGUUGUCACUAAGCAGAAUCACUGAUGGAAAGGGAUGUGAUUAGUUGACAUAAGCUCACCAUAUCAAUUGUGCAGUCUGCCACAAAGAGAACAGGGAUAGGUCUUUAUUGUAUCCUCUGCUGGCUUAUUACAUUAUUUUAUUUAAUCCUCACAAUAAUG